AAGUCGUAACAAGGUCUCCGUUGGUGAACCAGCGGAGGGAUCAUUAAUGAGGACAAACCCUCUCCAAACCACUGUGAAUUUACCGUACAUCGUUGUUUCGGUAGGCGGCCCCGGGGGGCCUGGGCCUUUUGGCGCCUGCCGGGCGGCAACUCAAAAUCUCUCAGUUAUUUAUCUUCAGCGGAUUUCAGCCUGCCUAUUUUAGGGUGGCAUAAUCAGUAAAAACUUUCAACAACGGAUCUCUUGGUUCUG
RNAcentral lists this unclassified non-coding RNA (249 nucleotides) under fungal sp. Its description in RNAcentral is "partial internal transcribed spacer region". The stretch from base 1 to 46 matches the Rfam family "Eukaryotic small subunit ribosomal RNA", at positions 1786 to 1831 of the family's 1831-position model. The record is from RNAcentral. Lineage: Eukaryota; Fungi.